This 306-nucleotide long non-coding RNA is filed under the name Lotus japonicus. Its description in RNAcentral is "long non-coding RNA (LJAP_LNC000425)". The record is from RNAcentral. Lineage: Eukaryota; Viridiplantae; Streptophyta; Magnoliopsida; Fabales; Fabaceae.
CAGAUCUAAUUGACAAAGCACAUUAACCUCAUAUUCACACAAUUAUAUAACAUCAUCAACUAAGCAAUAAUCACAUCCAGCAACUAGUUUUCCCUCAUAUAUAACAUCUCAAGCCAUGCAUGCAUCAUUACUUAGUUUCAUAAUAAACGUCGACACACGCUACGCCUACACAUGAGAAACCAGCAGCCUAGAAACACCAUUUUAGAUUCAAAAGCUUAUACAAGAUCUAUUUCUUCCAUAUAACAGAGGUUCUAUGAAAUUCAAAAUUAUCAUCAUCAACAACAACAAUUAUACAACAUACCGUUG